This 460-nucleotide ribosomal RNA is filed under the name uncultured bacterium. RNAcentral's name for it is "partial 16S ribosomal RNA". It matches the Rfam family "Bacterial small subunit ribosomal RNA", at positions 338 to 795 of the family's 1533-position model. The record is from RNAcentral.
CCUACGGGAGUCAGCAGUGAGGAAUAUUGGUCUAUGGACGAGAGUCUGAACCAGCCAAGUAGCGUGAAGGAUGACUGCCCUAUGGGUUGUAAACUUCUUUUAUAUGGGAAUAAAACGUUCCACGUGUGGGAUUUUGUAUGUACCAUAUGAAUAAGGAUCGGCUAACUCCGUGCCAGCAGCCGCGGUAAUACGGAGGAUCCGAGCGUUAUCCGGAUUUAUUGGGUUUAAAGGGAGCGUAGGUGGAUUGUUAAGUCAGUUGUGAAAGUUUGCGGCUCAACCGUAAAAUUGCAGUUGAAACUGGCAGUCUUGAGUACAGUAGAGGUGGGCGGAAUUCGUGGUGUAGCGGUGAAAUGCUUAGAUAUCACGAAGAACUCCGAUUGCGAAGGCAGUUCACUGGACUGCAACUGACACUGAGGCUCGAAAGUGUGGGUAUCAAACAGGAUUAGAUACCCCUGUAGUC